AACUUUUGACAAUGGAUCACUUGGCUCUCCCAUCGAUGAAGAACGCAGCGAAAUGAGAUAAGUAAUGUGAAUUGCAGAAUUCAGUGAAUCAUCGAAUCUUUGAACGCACCUUGCGCCCUUUGGUAUUCCGAAGGGCAUGCCUGUUUGAGUGUCAUUAAAUUCUCAACCUUGAAAGGCUUGUCUUUUCAAUGGCUUGGGUGUGAGGGUUUUGCUGGCUUCCUGUGGUGGAUGGUCUGCUCCCUUUAAAAGCAUUAGUGGGAUCCUUUGUGGACGGUCACUUGGUGUGAUAAUUAUCUACGCCGUUUGUACUGUGAAGCAACACUUGUGGGAACCUGCUUAUAACCGUUUGUAAUGUUCAAUUCUGAACCUUUGACCGCAAACCAGGUAGGACUACGCACAGAAAUUAAGCAAAUCAAUAAGCGGAGGCU
RNAcentral lists this unclassified non-coding RNA (428 nucleotides) under uncultured Agaricales. RNAcentral's name for it is "sequence contains ITS2". The stretch from base 1 to 154 matches the Rfam family "5.8S ribosomal RNA". Lineage: Eukaryota; Fungi; Basidiomycota; Agaricomycetes; Agaricales. The record is from RNAcentral.